Molecule: long non-coding RNA, 443 nt
Organism: Camellia sinensis
Lineage: Eukaryota; Viridiplantae; Streptophyta; Magnoliopsida; Ericales; Theaceae
Source: RefSeq, a predicted model, not a curated record
ACAUUGUGAAAUGGACAUGAACCAGUCAGAGAACAAGUGCGGUAAUUGUUUUUGCCAUCCUAUCUGAGUAUAAUUUUGAAGGGAGAUGUGAUCUCAUCAAGUUUGUGAAGCUAGUGGGAUCCAGUGGACUUUAUCUUCACCUUCGAAUAGGUCCUUACGUCCGUGCCGUGUGGAAUUUUGGGUCUCACCUUCUUUCUCAUUCUAAUUAUACCAGUUCAUUAUUUUUUUCUUCUUAGAUUUACAUUUUAAACCAUGAAAUCCUUUUCAUUUUCUUACAAUUCAACAAAUUGUUGUCUGACCAAGAAAGUUCAGCAUCUUUAACUAAUGAUUGCAAUAAUUGUUAAGGUACUUAGAAGAUGGUCUAUCGCUAUUAUGUGUGUUAUGUUGUGACAAUAGUCUGGUUCGGAUGUGAAAAAGCAAUAUACUCUGUUUAAUGGUGCCAA